GAUGAACGCUGGCGGCGUGCCUAAUACAUGCAAGUCGAGCGAACAGACGAGGAGCUUGCUCCUCUGACGUUAGCGGCGGACGGGUGAGUAACACGUGGAUAACCUACCUAUAAGACUGGGAUAACUUCGGGAAACCGGAGCUAAUACCGGAUAAUAUAUUGAACCGCAUGGUUCAAUAGUGAAAGACGGUUUUGCUGCACCUUAAGAUUGGUUCCGCGCCGCAUUAGCUAGUUGGUAAGGUAACGGCUUACCAAGGCAACGAUGCGUAGCCGACCUGAGAGGGUGAUCGGCCACACUGGAACUGAGACACGGUCCAGACUCCUACGGGAGGCAGCAGUAGGGAAUCUUCCGCAAUGGGCGAAAGCCUGACGGAGCAACGCCGCGUGAGUGAUGAAGGUCUUCGGAUCGUAAAACUCUGUUAUUAGGGAAGAACAAAUGUGUAAGUAACUAUGCACGUCUUGACGGUACCUAAUCAGAAAGCCACGGCUAACUACGUG
Molecule: ribosomal RNA, 497 nt
Filed under: uncultured bacterium
Lineage: Bacteria
Description: partial 16S ribosomal RNA
Rfam family: Bacterial small subunit ribosomal RNA
Source: RNAcentral